This is a non-coding RNA of Anopheles merus, 194 nucleotides long. NCBI's taxonomy places the organism in Eukaryota, Metazoa, Arthropoda, Insecta, Diptera, Culicidae. The record is from Rfam.
AGUAAGUUACGCUGUGCAAUGGGAUGGGAUCCGAAGCCUCUCGAGGGAUAAUACUGGCUCUCCCAUCCAACUCCUAUUGCGACACGUCCUCGUCGUGCAGAGCGGUAACAUGUGCCUCCAUAUAUCCUAGCUUGGGUACACGGGCUAGAUCCAACCGCUUGGGCGGAUGGUGGCACAUGGCGAACCAGGAGGGG